Molecule: long non-coding RNA, 3099 nt
Organism: Strigops habroptila (Kakapo)
Lineage: Eukaryota; Metazoa; Chordata; Aves; Psittaciformes; Psittacidae
Exons: 3
Source: RefSeq, a predicted model, not a curated record
UCUCUGCAGCCCCACAGCCCUGGCCGUGAGGAGGCUUUGACAGCUCCCAAGGCGGGCUGCUGCGCUGUACAAACCGGGUUGCGAAAUAAAACGCUUAUUUAAGCAAUGCCACCGCUGUAAUGUCGCCCUUCCGUGAACCUAAGUGUGUAACAGCGGUUUAUCUGUCAAUCUCAAGACAAAAUGUUUCAGCGCCUGUAACAGGCUGCAUUGAAACACUGAAACAGGCUGAGGGCAAACACAGACUUCCAUUUGAAUUUGUGAGGUAACACUGUGCCUCUCUGCAGCCAGGGAGUUGAGGACAAUAAUGACUUUGCCCCUUACACUGCUGUGGGGGGAAAAAGAAGUGAAGCCCUGUGCAAAGAUUGUAUGCAGAGUAUUUCUUUCCUUAUAGUUUCAAGCUAGGAACACGUCUCUGAGGACAAGCUGUGUGUGAAGUUUCAGGUUUUAAGGGCGGGCAAAGCCACUGUCUCCUGGGGUUUGAUUGAUUGGGGCAAACAGGGCUCCUUUUGGCGUUGGGUGGCUGACAGGAUGGCAUCAAAACCCUCUAAUUUCUGCCCACCCGAAAAGUAAUAAAAUCGCCAUGGCAGGAAAGGAAGAUUUCACUCCCGCAGAUGCAGAGUCCUAGUUUUGCAUUAAAGGAAGAGCUGGCUGAGGGAGAGCAGUCAGUUUCCCUCCCCGAGCUCUGGAUGGCAGCAGAUGCGAAUGUACUUGAGCCUCAGGCUCGCUACAGCGAGGGGAGAGCCCGGCAGCCGGCAGUGCUCCCCCAUGGUCCCGCUCCUCUGGGAGCUCCCUGCUCCCUUCUCUCCCCCAGCAUUGCGGAUAAAUACACGCAGAGAAAACGGAUAUUCCCUGCCAAAGGGAAUCUUUCCUUCGGCUUUACCACUGGUACAUCAUGCUUGGGCAGAGCGGUGAUUUCCAGGUCCAAACAGCCCUCCUGCAGACCUGUUUGUGCACCCAUCCCUUUACACACGCACCUUCCUAAGGCCCAGACAAGUUUCUUGCAUUGAAAGUGAGAUUUAUCCAACAGGCAUUCUCCUGUACAUUCAGGGCUGUAUGCCUCAUGUUUGCAAUGUAGCAGCCUUUUUUUGCAUUGCUGGGUGUAGCUGUACCCUUCUUGUGAACCAGAACAUGUUUUGCCGUAUGCAAAAUAAAGAAUACACGGAAUUAAAAGAAAUAGCAUAUACAUGCACAGAAACCAAAGGCUAUCCUAAGUAACAACUCAGUACAAAUGUGCUGGGAAUAAGCUGGUUUUCCCAAGUGGCCUGAAAUACACAGCAGUCAAAACUGUAAAGUUCAUCUCAAUGUGUGCUGCAGGAUGAGUUGCUGAGGAAUGAGCUGAAGUGGAUUCUCACCCCUUUCCAAUGCGUUUGGCUGGUUCCAAAUGAGAUGGCUAAUGAAAAUGCUAUUGAAUAAGCAGUUCUGAAGGGAGGAAAUCAUGCAGAAUGGGUAGAUAGAUUUGUGAUCGCUGUAAGAAUAUCUGGCUAAUAGUUAUUCAAAAUAAACACAAAAAUCCAGGAUACAUGAUUCAUCUGCAUCAGCUGCCCAGGGGACUAUCAAAGGUGAAUAUUUGCAAACCCUACGGAAGGAUCCAACAGAUGAAACUCUCUGGUGCAACCUAAGGGGACUAUUGCAUAAAGGAGAACGGGAUUUAUAAUGCAGUGUCUGAGAGGGAAACACUGAGGUUGAACAGGAGACUGUUAAAAUGAUACAGGAUUGUUGUGAAAUGUUUGGGAGAAAGGCCAAAGACAAGGAAGGGAGGAACAAAACAGACCGAAGCAGAUUGAAGAAAGGGAAUAAAAAGGACUGUUUUCAUGUAAGCAAGCUUCUGGUCAAUACGCUUCUGUGGCUGAGACCUGUGACUUAUUGCCACUGUCUGUUUCAUGUUUUUAAGUUCUGGGUUUAGCUAUUUUCCAUGUGAUCGUGCUCUCUGUUCCAUGUCUGUGCAUGUGAUCUGCUCAUGAACUCCAAGCCAGACUAGCUGGUGAGUUGAAUGAGCAGUUUGGCAAACAGGUACUGGAGACACUCAAAGGGGGGUUUCCCUGAGCACUCAUCCAUAGAACAAGGAUCAGGCUGUGCAUGCUGCCUGCAGGUGUGGUGUGGGUCUCUAAAGACAGGGCAGAAACAGGACCGAGGCACCUCACACUUGUAGGAUAAAGAAUUUGAUGCCAAAAAGGCAUCUUUUUUUGGUGAAUCUACUAUUCUCCUAAAACACAUUUAUUUUGUGACUAAUCCAUCAGCAUAUUUACUUACUAGAGCAUACUAGACUACCGAGAGGUUAAGCCUCUAUGCUUUGUCAUAUUAAAACUCUGACUGCAGAAGGUUAGAUGCAGCCCCUGAAGAAACCAGUGACAGUUUAAAUCAGCAGAGAGGUUCAUACAGCAUUCAGGAAGCUCCGAACCGGGCCCGUGCACAUUAUGGCAAGGUUACUUACAACUCGUAUGCAACCCCCCAGUGCCAUGAUGAGAAUCACUGCUAUCCUGUGUGUCAUUUCACAAACUGAGGAAGUUACUGACAACAGAGGUGGUUGUUAUGGGGACAGCAGUCUGUCAAAGAGAAGAGGCUAUGUGACAAAGAGAACAACCAGUUAUGAAGAAUUUGUUCUCAUACCAACAGGCACUUCAGGCACCAGACAGAAGAGGAGGUGCUUUCACAUGCAGCCCUACAAAUACACAGAGCAUUUUUGGGCUUUUAAAGUAUACUGCCCCAGAAUCACAAGCACAAGGAGAAGAAACUGGAUCUGGAGGCAGACCAGGGCUCUAGCAGGACUCCAAAAAGGAAAAGAACCUAAGCUAAGCAAAGCAAAACAAAAUGGAGACGUAAGAAGAGAAAGGGAACAGACCAGUAUUGUACUUCAUUUGUUCUCAAUGAUCCAAAACAUGGAUGUUUCCGCUCAGUAUAUUAACACAGAAGCAGAUCAUUCCCUCUGAGCCUCGCAGAAGAACCAUGGUAACCAUCCAGAGCCAUGCUGAUUCCAGUGGGCUCUUAUGUCUGUCAUCACAGCACAAAUCAGAGCUAUCAUAUGGGAUUUCCAAAACUGAAAUAUUAUGGCCUUUGUAUGUAUAUGUUGUAUAACACAAAUAAAAAAUGCCCUAAAACUCA